GUAAUUCCUAAGUAUGUUACAUUGUUGUCUAUUGUCGGGCACUGAUUUUAUUUUUCAGAAUCCUGCAGCUCGCUCGGCCCCGAGAAUCUAAAACAGUUUGGCUCACAACUCCACAGAAAAAGCACGAGGGGAUUGAAGAAGCAAAGAAGAGGAGCGCGUGUGUUCCUUCCAGUACAGCACAGUACGAACAUGUCGCGCGCCUGGCAACCCCAAAUGUUCGUCACAGGAGCUCCCAGGCAGUGAGGUAUGACGUCACAGCGUGGAGUCGUCCAGUGUUUAAUACCAUUAUGACUUAUGAUUCUUUUGAAUGAAUCAAACUAUGAGAGAUUUGAUUUAUUUGAUUCACCAGUGUAUUGAAAUAUA
Molecule: long non-coding RNA, 363 nt
Organism: Ictalurus punctatus (channel catfish)
Lineage: Eukaryota; Metazoa; Chordata; Actinopteri; Siluriformes; Ictaluridae
Source: Ensembl